AAGAGUUCUGGGCCGCACGCGCGCUACACUGACAGAAGCCAGCGAGUCUCUACCUUGGCCGAAAGGUCUGGGUAAUCUUGUGAAACUCUGUCGUGCUGGGGAUAGAGCAUUGCAAUUAUUGCUCUUCAACGAGGAAUUCCUAGUAAGCGUGAGUCAUCAGCUCGCGUUGAUUACGUCCCUGCCCUUUGUACACACCGCCCGUCGCUACUACCGAUUGAAUGGCUUAGUGAGACCUCCGGAUCGGCAUCGGAAAGCCGGCAACGGCAUUCCUUUGAUGAGAAGCUGGUCAAACUUGGUCAUUUAGAGGAAGUAAAAGUCGUAACAAGGUUUCCGUAGGUGAACCUGCGGAAGGAUCAUUAGCGAAGUCAAGUCCGGAUCUGUAGGGAUUGCAGCUGGCCUAACGGCAUGUGCUCGUCCCUUGGGUCUGUGACCUUCACUACCACACCCCACUGUGAACCAAGCGGGAGGUCGAAAGGCCUCUUGCAUCUUAUACAAACCCCAAUCGCAUGUAUUAGAAUGUCAUAGCGUUAACUCGCAACUAUACAACUUUCAACAACGGAUCUCUUGGCUCUCGCAUCGAUGAAGAACGCAGCGAAAUGCGAUAAGUAAUGUGAAUUGCAGAAUUCAGUGAAUCAUCGAAUCUUUGAACGCACCUUGCACCCCUUGGUAUUCCGAGGGGUACGCCUGUUUGAGUGUCGUGAACUCCUCCCACUCCGGUUUUCCAGAAUAUGGGAAUUUGGGUGUUGCUGGUCCUGGUAAACCGGCUCGCCUUAAUGCAUUAACGAAACCCUUGCGGCCUUGGGAGGGAUAAUUAUCCCGCCUCGGCUUUACCGACUUU
Molecule: ribosomal RNA, 838 nt
Filed under: Lachnocladiaceae sp. LM164
Lineage: Eukaryota; Fungi; Basidiomycota; Agaricomycetes; Russulales; Lachnocladiaceae
Description: eukaryotic LSU rRNA
Rfam family: Eukaryotic small subunit ribosomal RNA (bases 1-359)
Source: RNAcentral